Molecule: ribosomal RNA, 253 nt
Filed under: uncultured bacterium
Lineage: Bacteria
Description: partial 16S ribosomal RNA
Rfam family: Bacterial small subunit ribosomal RNA
Source: RNAcentral
UACGAGAGGCCCAAACGUUAUUCGGAUUUACUGGGCGUAAAGCGUGUGUAGGCGGCCACGUAAGUCGGAUGUGAAAGCCCCAGGCUCAACCUGGGAAGUGCACUCGAUACUGCGUGGCUUGAGUAUCGGAGAGGUUGGUGGAAUUCUCGGUGUAGAGGUGAAAUUCGUAGAUAUCGAGAGGAACACCGGUGGCGAAGGCGGCCAACUGGACGAAUACUGACGCUGAGACACGAAAGCGUGGGGAGCAAACAGG